This 424-nucleotide ribosomal RNA is filed under the name uncultured bacterium. RNAcentral's name for it is "bacterial SSU rRNA". It matches the Rfam family "Bacterial small subunit ribosomal RNA", at positions 359 to 773 of the family's 1533-position model. The record is from RNAcentral.
GAAUUGUUCGCAAUGGGCGCAAGCCUGACGACGCAACGCCGCGUGGAGGAUGAAGGUCUUCGGAUUGUAAACUCCUGUUGAUCGGGACGAACAACCAUCGGGAUAACACCCCGGAGGUCUGACGGUACCUACAGAAGAAGCCCCGGCCAACUACGUGCCAGCAGCCGCGGUAACACGUAGGGGGCGAGCGUUGUCCGGAUUUAUUGGGCGUAAAGAGCUCGUAGGCGGUUUCGUAAGUCGGAUGUGAAAACUCCAGGCUCAACUUGGAGACGCCAUUCGAUACUGCGAUGACUUGAGUCCGGUAGGGGAGUGUGGAAUUCCUGGUGUAGCGGUGAAAUGCGCAGAUAUCAGGAGGAACACCGGCGGCGAAGGCGGCACUCUGGGCCGGUACUGACGCUGAGGAGCGAAAGCGUGGGUAGCAAAC